UACAGAGACUGCAAGCGUUAUUCGGAUUCACUGGGCGUAAAGGGUGCGCAGGCGGCCAGGUGUGUGAGGUGUGAAAGCCCGGGGCUUAACCCCGGAAUUGCACCUCAAACUACAUGGCUAGAGCAUUGGAGAGGGUAGCAGAAUUCACGGUGUAGCAGUGAAAUGCGUAGAUAUCGUGAGGAAUACCAGAGGCGAAGGCGGCUACCUGGACAAUUGCUGACGCUCAGGCACGAAAGCGGGGGGAGCAAAAGGGAUUAGUUGCCCCUGUAGUCCACGCCCUAAACGGUGCACACUAGGUCUUGGCGGAUUCGACCCCGCCAGGGCGCAAGCGAACGCGUUAAGUGUGCCGCCUGAGGAUUACGGCCGCAAGGCUA
This 374-nucleotide ribosomal RNA is filed under the name uncultured prokaryote. Its description in RNAcentral is "bacterial SSU rRNA". It matches the Rfam family "Bacterial small subunit ribosomal RNA", at positions 524 to 896 of the family's 1533-position model. The record is from RNAcentral.